GAUGAACGCUGGCGGCGUGCCUAACACAUGCAAGUUGAACGAAGCAAUCAAGACAGAAUCCUUCGGGAGGAAGAUUUGAUUGACUGAGUGGCGGACGGGUGAGUAACGCGUAUCCAACCUUCCCCUUAGUAGGGCACAGCCCGGCGAAAGUCGGAUUAAUUCCCUAUGUUGUUUGAUGCUGACAUCAAAAUCAAACCAAAGAUUCAUCGCUAAGGGAUGGGGAUGCGUCUGAUUAGAUAGUAGGCGGGGUAACGGCCCACCUAGUCAACGAUCAGUAGGGGUUCUGAGAGGAAGGUCCCCCACAUUGGAACUGAGACACGGUCCAAACUCC
RNAcentral lists this ribosomal RNA (331 nucleotides) under uncultured Prevotella sp. Its description in RNAcentral is "bacterial SSU rRNA". It matches the Rfam family "Bacterial small subunit ribosomal RNA", at positions 28 to 339 of the family's 1533-position model. The record is from RNAcentral. Lineage: Bacteria; Pseudomonadati; Bacteroidota; Bacteroidia; Bacteroidales; Prevotellaceae.